ACUCAAAGGAAUAGACGGGGGCCCGCACAAGCGGUGGAGCAUGUGGUUUAAUUCGACGCAACGCGAAGAACCUUACCUACUCUUGACAUCCUCAGAACGCUGGAGAGAUCUAGUGGUGCCGAAAGGAACUGAGAGACAGGUGCUGCAUGGCUGUCGUCAGCUCGUGUUGUGAGAUGUUGGGUUAAGUCCCGUAACGAGCGCAACCCUUAUCCUUAGUUGCCAGCACGUAGUGGUGGGGACUCUAAGGAGACUGCUGGUGAAGAACCGGAGGAAGGCGGGGACGACGUCAAGUCAUCAUGGCCUUUAUGAGUAGGGCUACACACGUGCUACAAUGGGUCGUACAGAGGGUAGCGAAGCUGCGAAGUGUAGCCAAUCCCGCAAAGCGACUCGUAGUCCGGAUUGAAGUCUGCAACUCGACUUCAUGAAGUCGGAAUCGCUAGUAAUCGCGAAUCAGCAUGUCGCGGUGAAUACGUUCCCGGGCCUUGUACACACCGCCCGU
Molecule: ribosomal RNA, 499 nt
Filed under: uncultured bacterium
Lineage: Bacteria
Description: partial 16S ribosomal RNA
Rfam family: Bacterial small subunit ribosomal RNA
Source: RNAcentral